This 330-nucleotide ribosomal RNA is filed under the name uncultured bacterium. Its description in RNAcentral is "bacterial SSU rRNA". It matches the Rfam family "Bacterial small subunit ribosomal RNA", at positions 568 to 898 of the family's 1533-position model. The record is from RNAcentral.
UCCGUAGGCGGUGUGGCAAGUCGGAAGUGAAAUCUCUGGGCUUAACUCAGAGGCUGCUCCCGAAACUGCCAUGCUAGAGUGUGAGAGAGGCGAGUGGAAUUGCGGGUGUAGCGGUGAAAUGCGUAGAUAUCCGCAGGAACAUCCGAGGCGAAAGCGGCUCGCUGGAUCACAACUGACGCUGAGGGACGAAAGCUAGGGGAGCAAACAGGAUUAGAUACCCUGGUAGUCCUAGCCCUAAACCAUCAGGACUUGGGGUUUGCCCUGUACGGGGCAAGUCCCGUAGCUAACGCGUUAAGUCCUGCGCCUGGGGAGUACGGUCGCAAGGCUGAA